Long non-coding RNA from Leptinotarsa decemlineata (Colorado potato beetle), 172 nucleotides. NCBI's taxonomy places the organism in Eukaryota, Metazoa, Arthropoda, Insecta, Coleoptera, Chrysomelidae. The record is from RefSeq and is a predicted model, not a curated record.
GGUGGACCGUUAUCGUGGAUACAUCCUGCUGUUUACAAUAGCCAACUUAAUGUAUACGGUGGACCGUUACCGUGGAUACAGCCCGCUGUUAUCAAUAGCCAACUUAAUGUAUACGGUGGACCGUUACCGUGGAUACAGCCCGCUGUUAACAAUAGCCUACUUAAUGUAUACG